AUGACUUUUUUGCUAUAAUGAACCCCGCCUACACCAUGCGGGGAGGGGAACUGUGAUGAUGAUACUUGGGGUACAGUUCAGAACAGCUUGGGACGGUUCUCAAGCCAAAUCCCCCCCGCAGCUAGGUAAGAGAUUAAGAUGAGGGUGGUGAUGGGGUGGAGGCGGGUGCGAGGUCGAAAGUCACGUAGGUGAGGAGCACCUGGGAGGUAUAUAUAUAGGACCAGGGGGAGGAGCUAGGGAACUUGAGGCGUGGUUCAUAUCCCAAAACUCUGUUAAUUCUUAACAACACUUA
Long non-coding RNA from Astyanax mexicanus (Mexican tetra), 292 nucleotides. RefSeq lists it as uncharacterized. The record is from RefSeq and is a predicted model, not a curated record. NCBI's taxonomy places the organism in Eukaryota, Metazoa, Chordata, Actinopteri, Characiformes, Acestrorhamphidae. The transcript is spliced from 2 exons.